UUCUACUAGUCAUUAUAAUCAACGAUGAUAGAUUCAGAAAAUCCAAAAGAGCGUGUUCCUCCCUGCUAGCCAUCACAGCGAUGUCGACAUUGAAUUUCGGUCUACAGGUACACACAAUAUUGAUGGACAUAGUAAGGAUGUAUGCCGAUGGUGGUAUCGCCUAUAAUACUAUAAAAAUAUCUAUUACCGUGGACGUCCAAUGAGGAUUGGCGGAUUCUACGGUAAGCCUAAGGACCUUGGAAUAUUGUGCAAAAAACGAUCGUGAUAAAAAUUAAAAUUACAUGUAUAAAUGUUACAAUUAUUUUAUCGUGUACAGAAGCUGAUCAUACAUCCAAGGCUUGCCGGGAGAAAGUUCUAGAAGAUUCCGUGGAAUUCUAUGGACUGCUAUCGAAUACUUAAACACAUCAAACGGUCAUACUUACACACCACCUACACCCUUUCCAACCAAACUCUCUUAUUAUCGAUUGGGCACGUUAAGUUACACGGGUGUAUACCGAGAAACGGGGAUUAUUUUUAAUAAUUAUUGUAUUAGCAUAUUAUAUUGAUUAUUAUUAUUUACAGAACCAAUGAGCGGAGACUGUUAUCACAUGACAUCCUCUCAAACCGUUUAGUAAUAUUUUUGU
This is a long non-coding RNA of Adelges cooleyi (spruce gall adelgid), 623 nucleotides long. RefSeq lists it as uncharacterized. NCBI's taxonomy places the organism in Eukaryota, Metazoa, Arthropoda, Insecta, Hemiptera, Adelgidae. The transcript is spliced from 3 exons. The record is from RefSeq and is a predicted model, not a curated record.